GACGAACGCUGGCGGCGUACCUAAUACAUGCAAGUUGAGCGCUGAAGGUUGGUACUUGUACCAACUGGAUGAGCAGCGAACGGGUGAGUAACGCGUGGGGAAUCUGCCUUUGAGCGGGGGACAACAUUUGGAAACGAAUGCUAAUACCGCAUAAAAACUUUAAACAAAAGUUUUAAGUUUGAAAGAUGCAAUUGCAUCACUCAAAGAUGAUCCCGCGUUGUAUUAGCUAGUUGGUGAGGUAAAGGCUCACCAAGGCGAUGAUACAUAGCCGACCUGAGAGGGUGAUCGGCCACAUUGGGACUGAGACACGGCCCAAACUCCUACGGGAGGCAGCAGUAGGGAAUCUUCGGCAAUGGACGAAAGUCUGACCGAGCAACGCCGCGUGAGUGAAGAAGGUUUUCGGAUCGUAAAACUCUGUUGGUAGAGAAGAACGUUGGUGAGAGUGGAAAGCUCAUCAAGUGACGGUAACUACCCAGAAAGGGACGGCUAACUACGUG
Molecule: ribosomal RNA, 497 nt
Filed under: uncultured bacterium
Lineage: Bacteria
Description: partial 16S ribosomal RNA
Rfam family: Bacterial small subunit ribosomal RNA
Source: RNAcentral